GAUUUCCGGAGUCAGUCAUUUUACUGUCAAGACAUUUCUUCGGCAUUCUGCAACAGUUUCCAACGUGGCUAGAUCCAUCAGAAACUGAAGCCGUGGAGAACGCUCUCGGGGCCUUUGCCACUUCUUGGAGUAGAAGCCGACAGAGAGCUGUUUGGAAACUUCUCCUUCACACACCAGGUUGCUACUGAGGUCUAUUUCAUGUUGCAGUCAGAGCAGUUGCUUGUGUUUUUUAGUGCUUGAGUGAUUUUACAGAUAAAGUCAGCUUCUGCUUCUUGACCGGGAGGCAUUUGUGUGUGUGUGUGUGUGUGUGUGUGUUGCGGGAAGACAGAUCUAAGCUCUCCCUGUGAGGGGAAGAGUGGAUUGCACAAGCGGGGUUGGAUGGCUACACUGAGAUUACCCCACAUUUAAUCAGUUUGCCAAUGAGGAAGCCCCUUAUCUUCAAAAAAGGCAAGAAAGAAAGAAAGACUUCAUUUUCCCCCUUCUCUUUCUGUUCCAGUUGAAGACUA
RNAcentral lists this small RNA (506 nucleotides) under Pan troglodytes (chimpanzee). Its description in RNAcentral is "processed transcript". The record is from RNAcentral. Lineage: Eukaryota; Metazoa; Chordata; Mammalia; Primates; Hominidae.